RNAcentral lists this transfer RNA (64 nucleotides) under Auriculastra duplicata. RNAcentral describes it as "tRNA-Leu". The record is from RNAcentral. Lineage: Eukaryota; Metazoa; Mollusca; Gastropoda; Ellobiida; Ellobiidae.
CUUGGCUUGGCAGAUAAAUGCCACUGAUUUAGGAUCAGUUCAUAGCACAUAGUGCUAGUCGGAG